GCAAAGACUCAAAUAUAUAUCAUAGAUAAUCUGAUCACAAAUCCACAAUUCAUCGGAUCUCGACAAACACACCGCCAAAGAAGAUUACAUCGGAUAGAUCUCCAUGAAGAUCAUGGAGAACUUUGUAUUGNNNNNNNNNNUGAGAGAGAGAAGAAGCCAUCUAGCUACUAACUACGGACCCGUAGGUCUGAACUAAACUACUCACGAGUCAUUGGAGGGGCGAUGAUGAUGAUGAAGAAGCCCUCCAACUCCAAAGUCCCCUCCGGCAGGGUGCCGGGAAGGGUCUCCAGAUGUGAUCUCGCGGGAACGGAAGCUUGCGGCGGCGGAAAAGUAUUUUCGAGGCUCCCCUGAUUUUUUACGGAAUAUUUAGGAAUUUAUAGGCCAAACACCUAGGUCAGGGGGCGGCCAGGGAGGCCACAAGCCUGNNN
This 428-nucleotide long non-coding RNA is filed under the name Hordeum vulgare. RNAcentral describes it as "long non-coding RNA (HVUL_LNC020524)". The record is from RNAcentral. Lineage: Eukaryota; Viridiplantae; Streptophyta; Magnoliopsida; Poales; Poaceae.